Molecule: ribosomal RNA, 253 nt
Filed under: uncultured bacterium
Lineage: Bacteria
Description: partial 16S ribosomal RNA
Rfam family: Bacterial small subunit ribosomal RNA
Source: RNAcentral
UACGUAGGGGGCAAGCGUUGUCCGGAAUCAUUGGGCGUAAAGCGCGUGUAGGCGGCUCGGUAAGUCUGCUGUGAAAGUUCAGGGCUCAACCCUGAAAUGCCGGUGGAAACUGUCGAGCUAGAGUACGGAAGAGGUGAGUGGAAUUCCUGGUGUAGCGGUGAAAUGCGCAGAUAUCAGGAGGAACACCAAUGGCGAAGGCAGCUCACUGGGACGUUACUGACGCUGAGACGCGAAAGCGUGGGGAGCAAACAGG